AUUUAUUCAACCCCCUUCAUAAACUCCAGGAACUCUGCCAAGAGGAAGACAUUGGAGACAAGAGGUGUGAGGUGAAACCAAAGUGCCCUCGCAGCUGCCAAGUGUGCUCUUGGCAGUUUUCCCCAGCCCUGUCUCCUUUUCCAACCCCCCAACAUGCAAGAGGCCGAGGGUGGAUGGCUACUGCUCCUCUGACUGUGGCAAGGACUCCUCGUGACUCCUGCUGGAAAUGUCACUGGAGCCCUGCGCCACCCUCAGCUGCCACCAAAACACUGAGGGUACUGCUUAUCUAAAAUUGCUGACCACCACCAUGUCCAACUGCCCCUUUGGCAGCAUCCAUGAAAACACUGACUCUUCCUUCCUAUGCUGGUCAACAGCCUCUCUGGAGCCAGCCAGGGACAGGUUUCUCUGGCUGAAGUGUGGGAAGGCAAGCUCUGAGCUCAGAGGUCACAGCACUGCAGCAGCCGUGGUAACA
This is a long non-coding RNA of Neopelma chrysocephalum (saffron-crested tyrant-manakin), 472 nucleotides long. RefSeq lists it as uncharacterized. NCBI's taxonomy places the organism in Eukaryota, Metazoa, Chordata, Aves, Passeriformes, Pipridae. The transcript is spliced from 3 exons. The record is from RefSeq and is a predicted model, not a curated record.